RNAcentral lists this ribosomal RNA (253 nucleotides) under uncultured bacterium. Its description in RNAcentral is "partial 16S ribosomal RNA". It matches the Rfam family "Bacterial small subunit ribosomal RNA", at positions 524 to 776 of the family's 1533-position model. The record is from RNAcentral.
UACGAAGGGAGCUAGCGUUGUUCGGAAUCACUGGGCGUAAAGCGCACGUAGGCGGCUUUGUCAGUCAGGGGUGAAAUCCCGGGGCUCAACCUCGGAACUGCCUUUGAUACAGCAAGUCUUGAGUUCGAGAGAGGUGGGUGGAAUUCCUAGUGUAGAGGUGAAAUUCGUAGAUAUUAGGAAGAACACCGGUGGCGAAGGCGGCCCACUGGGUGGAUACUGACGCUGAGGUGCGAAAGCGUGGGGAGCAAACAGG